UAGAAGCUGCACACAUAAGAGGAAACGCCGCUCUUUUGCUUCCUCUUCUUCUUCCUGCAGGCUGGAGCUGUAAUGGUCGUUUGGUGUGUUCCGAGUACUUGAUGCCGUCCUGAAGAAGAAAAUGACCUGCUUACUGAUGAGCGACGUUGGCUGAAAUUCAGAUGCGAUGACUCUGAAGUCAUAAUAAAGAUGAUCGCAAGAUAAUCUUGCUGAAAGGCAGACAAGAUGAUCCUGGAGUCUAACUUACAAAGGUGAUGAAUCUGCAGUCUGAGGUGUUGGAUGUCCAUUUUGACAGACAGGAUGGUGUCUGAUACUUGACUUGGGACCAUGUCGUACUCCUUACCACAGGAGUGACUGGAUGAAGUGCUGAUGGAUGCAGAAUUAAGGAGCUGUGCACCAGAGAGGGGCAGAUGAGCAAGCAGGAGUGACGAGACCACUGGAAUCUCACAAACCCACCUUCCUGGUUACGUAGACUCUACACUCAAUGUGUUAUUUAAUCAUCUAAUUAGCAACACGAGGGGAUCAGAGGGGAAAGUGAGCCUAUACUAUGCAUACUGUGCCUGUGUAACCCAUUUCUAACCAAUAAAAUGUCCUGAAAUUUAAAAAAA
Pangasianodon hypophthalmus (striped catfish) is the source of this 608-nucleotide long non-coding RNA. RefSeq lists it as uncharacterized. The record is from RefSeq and is a predicted model, not a curated record. The transcript has 7 exons. NCBI's taxonomy places the organism in Eukaryota, Metazoa, Chordata, Actinopteri, Siluriformes, Pangasiidae.